This 672-nucleotide ribosomal RNA is filed under the name Triticum aestivum (bread wheat). RNAcentral describes it as "partial small subunit ribosomal RNA". The record is from RNAcentral. Lineage: Eukaryota; Viridiplantae; Streptophyta; Magnoliopsida; Poales; Poaceae.
AUGUGUGUACUAUCGCCAUGGUGGGGCGAGGGAGUUAUCCUUUGCUUGUAUGUUGAUGACAUACUGAUUUUCGAAACAAAUCUUAAUGUUAUUAAGGAGGUCAAGAAUUUCCUAUCUCGCUGUUUUGAGAUGAAGGAUUUAGGAGUGGCUGAUGUCAUUCUGAACAUCAAGUUGUUGAGAGACGAUGAGGGUGGGAUUACAUUGCUUCAAUCUCACUAUGUGGAAAAGAUCUUGAGUCGCUUUGGCUAUAGUGACUACAAACCCUCUCCAACACCAUAUGAUGCUAGUGUGCUGCUUCGAAAGAAUCAAAGAAUUGCUAGAGAUCAAUUGAAGUAUUCUCAGAUUAUUGGCUCGCUUAUGUACUUAGCCAGUGCUACAAGACCUGGCAUCUCUUUUGAUGUUAGUAAACUGAGUCGGUUUGUCUCAAAACCAGGAGAUGUACAUUGGAAAGCUCUAGAGAGAGUUUUGCGUUACUUGAAAGGCAUUGCCAAUUAUGGAAUUCACUACACUGGGCACCCAAAGGUGCUUGAAGGGUAUAGUGACUCAAACUGGAUCUCAGAUGCUGAUGAGAUAAAGGCCACGAGCGGAUAUGUAUUCACUCAUGGAGGUGGCGCUGUUUCUUGGAAGUCUUGCAAGCAGACCAUCUUAACGAGGUCAACAAUGGAAGCAUAA